AUGCUUACCAGGAAGGGGUAAUACCAUGACCAAGAUGAAGUUUUUCCCAGGAUGAGGCUUACCCGUUGCAAUCUAUAUGCUCUCUCUGUGAUUUCCCCAAAUGCAGAAACUCAACUGCAUAAUGUGUGGUAGUAGUGGGAUGCUUUGGACAUUAU
RNAcentral lists this small nuclear RNA (155 nucleotides) under Mesocricetus auratus (golden hamster). Its description in RNAcentral is "U1 spliceosomal RNA (ENSMAUG00000002401.1)". It matches the Rfam family "U1 spliceosomal RNA". From Rfam's summary of the family: U1 is a small nuclear RNA (snRNA) component of the spliceosome (involved in pre-mRNA splicing). Its 5' end forms complementary base pairs with the 5' splice junction, thus defining the 5' donor site of an intron. Lineage: Eukaryota; Metazoa; Chordata; Mammalia; Rodentia; Cricetidae. The record is from RNAcentral.